Molecule: transfer RNA, 73 nt
Filed under: Oenococcus sp. UCMA 17063
Lineage: Bacteria; Bacillati; Bacillota; Bacilli; Lactobacillales; Lactobacillaceae
Description: tRNA-Arg
Rfam family: tRNA
About the family: Transfer RNA (tRNA) molecules are approximately 80 nucleotides in length.
Source: RNAcentral
GGCCUAAUAGUUUAACAGGAUAAAACACGGACCUCCUAAGUCUAAGCUCCCGGUUCAAGUCCGGGUUGGGCCA